UACGUAGGGUGCAAGCGUUAAUCGGAAUUACUGGGCGUAAAGCGUGCGCAGGCGGUUGUGCAAGACAGAUGUGAAAUCCCCGGGCUCAACCUGGGAACUGCAUUUGUGACUGCACGGCUGGAGUGCGGCAGAGGGGGAUGGAAUUCCGCGUGUAGCAGUGAAAUGCGUAGAUAUGCGGAGGAACACCGAUGGCGAAGGCAAUCCCCUGGGCCUGCACUGACGCUCAUGCACGAAAGCGUGGGGAGCAAACAGG
RNAcentral lists this ribosomal RNA (253 nucleotides) under uncultured bacterium. RNAcentral describes it as "partial 16S ribosomal RNA". It matches the Rfam family "Bacterial small subunit ribosomal RNA", at positions 524 to 776 of the family's 1533-position model. RNAcentral also lists the same sequence under 1 other name. The record is from RNAcentral.